Solanum tuberosum (potato) is the source of this 1395-nucleotide long non-coding RNA. RefSeq lists it as uncharacterized. The record is from RefSeq and is a predicted model, not a curated record. NCBI's taxonomy places the organism in Eukaryota, Viridiplantae, Streptophyta, Magnoliopsida, Solanales, Solanaceae. The transcript is spliced from 7 exons.
AGGAAAUUACGAAAGUUAUGGAAACUCUUCCGCUCCAUAUCUUCUCUACCCAGCCACUUCAUCUCCUUUCUUCUCCCCUAAUUGUUUUCUUCCGAACCUCUUCAUCUCAAUUCUUCUCCCCUAAUUUUACUAGCACAACUAUUCUUUAUUUUUGAAGUACACAAGUUGAUCCAUUCGAAGAGUUCGUUAUCUCUGAUGUAGAGCUACUACAAAUUCGAUUUCAGAGGUUUGGAGUUGUGCAUGUUAGCUCAAAAUCAUCAUCGAUGUCUUCACUAUCUCUCUUGCUAUGGUUUGUUUAUUUAGCAACAAAAUCGCAGCUGACUGAAGACAAAAAAAAUGCUCGAUUGUGUUGCUCUUAGUCAGAUCCCUGAUUUCCGAAGUGGGUUCUCUAGUGAUUCAAGUUUUUUAGGAUUAUCAACCAGAAGUACAAGGCCUAGGGUUUUGGGUUUCAGCUAAAAGAGAAUUUCAGGAUAACCACCAUAUAUAUGAGAAAACAGACGGAAAAGUUUCAAUUACAAUGUGAAGCAAAGUUUCUGAACCUGAACAAGACCAGAAUUCUGCAAAUUGAUGGCACCGGGUGGAUGUGUUUUCAAGCAAACUACAGUUACAGGGGAAACAAUUCAAGAUACUCAAUCACUAGAUGAAUCAAAUAAUGAUACUCUUGCUGUGAAUACAAAUGAUUCCACUAGAAUCAGGAACGGUCAUGGCAAGACUAGAGGGAAAGGUCUUGAAAAAAUGAAGAAGGCUCAAGGAAGAAAGAUGAAAAUAGAGAUCCCAGUUGGUAAAGGAAGGGCAACUAAACUAGAUCAAUCGAAAAAACUAUCCAAUGAGCUAGGGAUAAUUGCUCGGAAUUUUCUUUUGCUUCCAAACAAGUGGAAAAGAACUCACACGAGAGGACAAAGAUGCAGCACUAAUUAGAUGCCAUGAGAGGUUUGAGAUUAAUUUGGAUGAGCAUUACGUGAAAGAUAGUUGUGAGGAUAUUCUGAAAAACAGAAGCCGACAAUGGCGCUACAAGUUAAAACAACUAUUUGAAAAUGCACGCUCUGAAGAAGAAGCUCGUAAGAUCGAAGUGCCAGAGUUGACCCGAGAAAAUUGGAAUAGGCUUUGUGACAUGUGGAUCAAUCCAGAGCAUAAGGGUAAAACUAACCCGGAAGGAGUAGAGCCUGACAAAAUCGAGUUCUAUAAGCAUACUCAUUACACGAGUGAGAAAGGAUGGUCAUCUUUAGAGGCUGAGACUCACUAUAACAACAUGACAGAUUUGAAAGAUCUAUAUACAUAGGGAGAGUCUUCCAUUACUAUUGAUGAAAUUGUGGAUACUAUACUUGGUACAAAGUCGGGGUACAUAAAAGGACUUGGUUAUGGUCCAAAACCUAAUACUACAAGAUCUACACAAAG